RNAcentral lists this RNase P RNA (355 nucleotides) under Methylotenera sp. RNAcentral's name for it is "RNase P RNA component class A". It matches the Rfam family "Bacterial RNase P class A". From Rfam's summary of the family: Ribonuclease P (RNase P) is a ubiquitous endoribonuclease, found in archaea, bacteria and eukarya as well as chloroplasts and mitochondria. The record is from RNAcentral. Lineage: Bacteria; Pseudomonadati; Pseudomonadota; Betaproteobacteria; Nitrosomonadales; Methylophilaceae.
GAAGCUGGCUAGACAGUCGCCGCUCACGUAGGUGAGGGGAGGAAAGUCCGGGCUGCAUAGAGCGGGAUGACGGCUAACGGCCGUACGUUGAAAGCUUGGGUAACUGAGUAUAAGGCGCGGAAUAGGGCCACAGAGACGAGCGUAUUUAGUUACGGUGAAACGCGGUAACCUCCAUUCGCAGCAAGACCAAAUAGGCUAGCACUUUACUCUGAGGUUAAUCCUUGGUGUAAUAAGGCGUGGUUCGCGCUGCUAGCGGGUAGGUUGCUUGAGCGUGCAAGUAAUUGUACGCCUAGAUGAAUGACUGUCGUGCGUUGCAAGACGCAAACAGAACCCGGCUUAUCGGCCAGCUUCAAUC